CUUUACUGUAACUUGAAAUUGAAAUUGGACUUUAUUUGCGCAGUAUAGGUGGGAGGCGUUGAGUAGAUUCUUGCGGGAAUUUAGGAGCCAUCAGUGAGAUACCACUCUGGUAAUGUUAGAUUUCUAACUUUGGAUCAUUAUCUGGUCAAAGAACAGUUUCAGGCGGGCAGUUUGACUGGGGCGGUCGCCUCCCAAAUGGUAACGGAGGCGUACAAAGGUUUCCUCUGAACGUGUAGAAAUCGUAUCUAGAGUGUAAAGGCAUAAGGAAGCUUGACUGUGAGACCUACAAGUCGAGCAGGGACGAAAGUCGGUCUUAGUGAUCUGACGGUGCUGAGUGGAAAGGCCGUCACUCAACGGAUAAAAGUUA
Molecule: ribosomal RNA, 367 nt
Filed under: uncultured organism
Description: bacterial LSU rRNA
Rfam family: Bacterial large subunit ribosomal RNA
Source: RNAcentral